RNAcentral lists this ribosomal RNA (422 nucleotides) under uncultured bacterium. RNAcentral's name for it is "partial 16S ribosomal RNA". It matches the Rfam family "Bacterial small subunit ribosomal RNA", at positions 359 to 773 of the family's 1533-position model. The record is from RNAcentral.
GAAUCUUCCACAAUGGACGAAAGCCUGAUGGAGCAAUGCCGCGUGAGCGAAGAAGGUUUUCGGAUCGUAAAGCCCUGUCGUCAGGGAAGAACACGUCCGGGAGCAACUGCCCGUGCCAUGACGGUACCUUAGUAGAAAGCCACGGCAACCUCACUGCCAGCAGCCGCGGUAAUACGUAGGUGGCAAGCGUUGUCCGGAAUUAUUGGGCGUAAAGCGCGCGCGGGCGGUUCUUUAAGUCUGAUGUGAAAGCCCACGGCUCAACCGUGGAGGGUCAUUGGAAACUGGAGAGCUUGAGUACAGAAGAGGAGAGCGGAAUUCCACGUGUAGCGGUGAAAUGCGUAGAGAUGUGGAGGAACACCAGUGGCGAAGGCGGCUUUCUGGUCUGUAACUGACGCUGCGGCGCGAAAGCGUGGGGAGCAAAC